This 1144-nucleotide long non-coding RNA is filed under the name Cairina moschata (Muscovy duck). Its description in RNAcentral is "domestica (muscovy Duck (domestic type)) lncRNA (ENSCMMG00000010418.1)". Lineage: Eukaryota; Metazoa; Chordata; Aves; Anseriformes; Anatidae. The record is from RNAcentral.
CAUAAAAGGAGCCUGGGCGCUUUUUAAAUAAUACGAUCGACACUUCAUCAAGUCACCAGCAUAUAUGACCCGUCACUUUACAGUCAGAGCACAACCUCAUUGCCUGCACAAUGCUGCAAACACUGGUGCCAACAGAUCUGCCUCAGCUCCCUGUUCACCCUCCUCUUGAGAUUCCUCCACGGCCUGAUGAAGAAGAGAAAGAGAAGCAAGGAAAGUUUGCACCUGUCAGAGCUGCAGGGGCACUAACAGGCUUUGAUGGCCCUGACCAACCUCAGCUGGGCCUCUGCCCACACCCUGCCCAUGGACCCAGCCCAUUUAAGCUCAGCCUUGGGGUCUUCACAGUUUUUGCUGGUGUUGCAGAGGUGCUGCUCUCUAGCUCAGCUGCAGCCAUGCCUCUCCCUGACCAUGCACCCCGGUGAUUUGGACCCUAACCUGUGGAUGGACUUCGUGACUUGCCUCAGACCUGCUGCAUCACCGCAGUUACUGAUGGGCUGCCAUCCCCAGCCCUGCUUGCUGUGCUCGGGUAUCAAGAGACUGCACCCUGGCUGCUGAGGCCCCUGCUCUUCAUCUGUGUUGAGCGUGGUUCCUGGCUUGUCGGGAGCAGCUGACCCCCGCUGUAUUCAAACAGUAAGUCUUCUCCUGCCAAUAAAACUGCUCCUGUUGGUGUGCAUCAUAGCUGAAACAAAAGCUGUCAACAAAUCCAAAAGCUUUCAAUCAAAAUUGGUAAUACAAAACUUUGGGUUGCUUUGGGUAUCAAUGUAGUGUGUAGAGGAAGCCUUUGCUCUGUUUGACUUGGGGGAUGACUUACAUUUGAGUUAAAAGGGCUGAUUUUGUCUCUUCAUCUAGCCAAAAUACCCUUCUUAAAUCUUCAAAGUCACAAAAAAAAGGGGAGCUGGCACCAAGCAAUGUGGUUAUAUGGAUUUUAGCAGUGCAUUGUACUGUUCUUUUGGCUAUGGCAUGCAAAGCAAACUUACUGAACUGUCAAUCCCAUCACUUCUUCUUGAUUGUGGCUGCCAACCGGCACAGACCUGUGUGCUGUGCAUGUAGCAAACACAUCACCUGCCCACCCCAACACUGCGCUGCUCCCCAGCUCUGCCCAAAUCCCUCCGUACGAGGUGACCGCGGGUAAAUAGCGAAGGGACUC